RNAcentral lists this unclassified non-coding RNA (200 nucleotides) under soil metagenome. RNAcentral's name for it is "partial contains internal transcribed spacer 2 and large subunit ribosomal RNA". The record is from RNAcentral.
GCCACUUGAGGUUUCGCAGACCCCAGAGCAAGGCGAAAAGCGUAAUAGUUGACCUUUUUUGGUCAUCUUCUUCGCUGAAAGCCUUUUUGUUUUGGGAAAAGUUUGCAAAGUCUUUUAAUGUGAGUGCAGGAAAUAUUAUGACUAUUUAUUUAGUCUAUUUUCUUGAUCUGAAAUCAGGUAGGAUUACCCGCUGAACUUAA